Molecule: ribosomal RNA, 174 nt
Filed under: uncultured bacterium
Lineage: Bacteria
Description: partial 16S ribosomal RNA
Rfam family: Bacterial small subunit ribosomal RNA
Source: RNAcentral
CCUACGGGAGGCAGCAGUGAGGAAUAUUUGGUCAAUGGGCGAGAGCCUGAACCAGCCAAGUAGCGUGCAGGAUGACGGCCCUAUGGGUUGUAAACUGCUUUUAUAAGGGAAUAAAGUGAGUCUCGUGAGGCUUUUUGCAUGUACCUUAUGAAUAAGGACCGGCUAAUUCCGUGC